This 155-nucleotide ribosomal RNA is filed under the name uncultured bacterium. Its description in RNAcentral is "partial 16S ribosomal RNA". It matches the Rfam family "Bacterial small subunit ribosomal RNA", at positions 345 to 492 of the family's 1533-position model. The record is from RNAcentral.
UAGGCAGCAGUGGGGAAUUUUGGACAAUGGGGGAAACCCUGAUCCAGCAAUGCCGCGUGUGUGAAGAAGGCCUUCGGGUUGUAAAGCACUUUUGUCCGGAAAGAAAACUUCGGGGCUAAUACCUCUGGAGGAUGACGGUACCGGAAGAAUAAGCA